This 425-nucleotide ribosomal RNA is filed under the name uncultured archaeon. Its description in RNAcentral is "partial 16S ribosomal RNA". It matches the Rfam family "Archaeal small subunit ribosomal RNA", at positions 323 to 746 of the family's 1478-position model. The record is from RNAcentral.
CUACGGGAGGCUCCAGUCGGGAAACUUCUACAAUGUACGUAAGUAUGAUAGAGCGAGCCAGAGUGCGUUUCUAUAAUUGAAACGCUUUUAUGUAAUGUAAAAAGUUACAUGAAUAAGGACUGGGUAAGACUGGUGCCAGGCCGCCGCGGUAAUACCAGCGGUCCAAGUAGCAGCCGCGUUUAUUGGGUCUAAAACAUCCGUAGCUCGCCGAGUCAGCCUCAUGUGAAAUCCGGCCUCUCAAGGGUCGGGCGUGCAUGGGGUACUGCUUGGCUAGAGACCGGGAGACGUGAAGAGUACGGUUAGGGUAGCGGUUAAAUGCGUUGAUCCUUACUGGACUAACGAUAGCGAAGGCACUUCACGAGAACGGAUCUGACAGUGAGGGAUGAAGGCUAGGGUCGCAAAACGGAUUAGAUACCCCCGUAGUC